Molecule: ribosomal RNA, 629 nt
Filed under: Filobasidium floriforme
Lineage: Eukaryota; Fungi; Basidiomycota; Tremellomycetes; Filobasidiales; Filobasidiaceae
Also listed under: 1 other name
Description: eukaryotic LSU rRNA
Rfam family: Eukaryotic large subunit ribosomal RNA
Source: RNAcentral
UAAGCGGAGGAAAAGAAACUAACAAGGAUUCCCCUAGUAACGGCGAGUGAAGCGGGAAGAGCUCAAAUUUGAAAUCUGGUGGCCUCAGGUCAUCCGAGUUGUAAUCUAUAGAAGUGUUUUCCGUGCUGGCUCAUGUACAAGUCCCUUGGAACAGGGCGUCAUAGAGGGUGAGAAUCCCGUCCUUGACAUGAACUACCAGUGCUCUGUGAUACAUUUUCAACGAGUCGAGUUGUUUGGGAAUGCAGCUCAAAAUGGGUGGUAAAUUCCAUCUAAAGCUAAAUAUUGGCGAGAGACCGAUAGCGAACAAGUACCGUGAGGGAAAGAUGAAAAGCACUUUGGAAAGAGAGUUAAACAGUAUGUGAAAUUGUUGAAAGGGAAACGAUUGAAGUCAGUCGUGCUCUUUGGAUUCAGCCGGUUCUGCCGGUGUACUUCCUUUGAGUGGGGUCAACAUCAGUUUUGAUCGCUGGAUAAAGGCUGGAGGAACGUAGUACCCUCGGGUAAACUUAUAGCCUCCUGUCACAUACAGUGGUUGGGACUGAGGAACGCAGCACGCCUUUAUGGCCGGGAUUCGUCCACGUACGUGCUUAGGAUGUUGACAUAAUGGCUUUAAACGACCCGUCUUGAAACAC